CUUGGUCAUUUAGAGGAAGUAAAAGUCGUAACAAGGUCUCCGUUGGUGAACCAGCGGAGGGAUCAUUACCGAGUACUAUAACUCAUAACCCUUUGUGAAUCUUUAUACCUGUUGCUUCGGCGGCGCGCCUCCCGGGGCGUGCCCGCCGGCAUUAUCAGAAUCUCUGUUCGAACCCGACGAUACAUCUGAGUGUUCUAAGCGAACUGUUAAAACUUUCAACAACGGAUCUCUUGGCUCCAGCAUCGAUGAAGAACGCAGCGAAACGCGAUAUGUAAUGUGAAUUGCAGAAUUCAGUGAAUCAUCGAAUCUUUGAACGCACAUGGCGCCUUCCAGUAUCCUGGGAGGCAUGCCUGUCCGAGCGUCGUUUCAACCCUCGAGCCCCCGUGGCCCGGCGUUGGGGAUCUGCCCAGGCAGUCCCCGAAAACCAGUGGCGGACCCGUUGGGCCCUUCCUUUGCGUAGUAACAUCUGCCUCGCAUCGGGAGCCUGCGGGCUAUCCGGCCUCUAAACCCCCCUCAAGCCCGCUCCGGCGGCACCAAGGUUGACCUCGGAUCAGGUAGGAAUACCCGCUGAACUUAAGCAUAUCAAUAAGCGGAGGAAAAGAAACCAACAGGGAUUGCCUCAGUAACGGCGAGUGAAGCGGCAACAGCUCAAAUUUGAAAUCUGGCUCCUUCGGGGCCCGAGUUGUAAUUUGCAGAGGAUGCUUCGGGUACGGGUUCCUUCCGAGUUCCCUGGAACGGGACGCCAUAGAGGGUGAGAGCCCCGUCUGGUAGGACACCCAGCCCGUGUGAAGCUCCCUCGACGAGUCGAGUUGUUUGGGAAU
This 821-nucleotide small RNA is filed under the name uncultured Verticillium. RNAcentral describes it as "eukaryotic LSU rRNA". The stretch from base 541 to 821 matches the Rfam family "Eukaryotic large subunit ribosomal RNA", at positions 1 to 281 of the family's 3401-position model. The record is from RNAcentral. Lineage: Eukaryota; Fungi; Ascomycota; Sordariomycetes; Hypocreales.